Molecule: unclassified non-coding RNA, 2718 nt
Organism: Bradysia coprophila
Lineage: Eukaryota; Metazoa; Arthropoda; Insecta; Diptera; Sciaridae
Source: RefSeq, a predicted model, not a curated record
CUACUGUUAAGACUGUAAUCGAUUUUCUGUUGAAAAAUGAUUGUGUUCAACAUUUUCAUUACAGUUACUCUAAUCUUUCUUUUAAAUUAUUGCUGGAAAAGGCGAAAUUGGUAUCGUGCAUCCUGGAAUCUACCCGGCGUCUGGCCAUUGCCCAUAAUUGGUGGAGCGUACAUAUUUCGGAACACAACAGAUGUCAUGGCAAGAAUUUCGGAUUAUUUGAAGUCAUAUAAAGCUACAACGCCAGUGGGCUUUUGGCUAGGUUCACAGUUCGUUAUCCUCAUUAAGGAUCCACAAGAUGCUGAAAUCGUUAUCAAUCACCCCAGUUCUAUGCAUAAGGGCGCUCUUUAUCAAGUUGCUAUUGAUACGAUGGGUGCUCCAGGACUGCUUACUGCUUCUGGCGAUUAUUGGAAAUAUCACAGAAAACUUCUCGAUCCAACGAUUCAAAAUACCAAGAUUCUGAACAGCUAUUAUCCCACCAUAAACAGCACUUUAAGGAUUUUGGUGGACAUUUUGAACGAAAGGAAUCCAAAGGAAACUUUUGAUAUUUUUCCACGUAUCGAUGCUUGCAGUUUCGACCUGUUUGCUAAAAGCACAUUGGGAGUCGAUUGCAACGUUCAGAGGGAGCAUUGUUCAUUUUUUGAAUCACUCAAUGAAGGUUUAUUCGUGUUACGUAAAAGAGUGUUCGAGCCGAUCUAUAACAUAAAACCAAUAUUUAGAUUAUCCAAAUUAUAUCCGAUGGCGAAAAGAGCGACAGCAGAUAUGCGAGCCGUCGUUCAAGACAUUAUUCGAAAAAGAAUGGUCGCGCUCGCUGGUAGCGAUCAGAGCCAUCGAGAGGAAGACGAAUAUGAAAAACGCUUAAGAAUCUUUGUCGAUGAAGCCAUUCAGUUGACGACCGAACAGAAAUGCUUUACAGAAGAUGAGUUGAUAACCGAAUCGUUGACUAUAUUAAUGACGGGAUUCGAAACGUCAGCAGUUUCUAUUACGAACACUGUUCUUAUGCUCGCAAUGCAUCCACAAUAUCAGGAGAAGGUCUACGAGGAAAUUCAAAAAAUUUGCCCAAACAUCGAUGAAGAUGUAACAUCAGAACAGUUAAAGGAACUGUUAUUUACAGAACAAUGUAUUAAGGAGUCGAUGAGAUUAAUCCCAACGGUGCCGCUCACAUCUCGUUUAGCUACGGAUGAUUUUUAUAUCGGUGAAACUUAUGUGCCAGCUGGAUGUGAUGUCGUUCUUUCUGCAUAUGAGUUGCAUCGAGAUAAAAGUGUUUGGGGAAACGAUGCCAAUACAUACAAUCCCGACCGUUUCUUACCGGAAAGAUUUGAAAAACAACAUCCAUACUCAUACAUACCAUACAGUGCCGGCCUCAGAAAUUGCAUAGGCAAGAAGUACGCUCAAAUCGUUAUUCGUAUGUUUAUCGUAUGGCUGGUGCGAAAUUUUAAAUUUACCACUGACCUGAAAUUCGAGGAGUUAUCACUUAAGUGGAUGGUCGUGUUGAGAACGAACCAAGGCUAUCCAGUCAGAAUUGAAAAACGAUUGGAAAUAUAAAAUUGUUUGUUCCGCUCCGAUGUAAUAUUACAAAAAAAAAAGUUCUAGUUUCUUUCCACGGAGUUGCAUUACGUUUUCUGAGUUUCGAAAUCUUCUCUACUAACUGCAACCUCGGAAAAUGUGCUAUUGCUCUAUUGCUGAGCUUUAUAUUGUGCCUAAUAUCAAGCCUAAUAUUGUGUUAAAAACAUUUGUAUAUUUGACAAUAACUGAUAGAAGAUGCUUCGAAGUUACCGCCAGACAAACUGUGCUAGCUAUCGUAAUUUUAGUUUACACAUCUGCUCUUCAAAGAUUUGAUUAGACAAAACCGUCUAAACACCUUCUGCUUGCAGAGAAGUUUGUUCAUUUAAAACUUAAAAUUCAUGUGUUUUAUUAAAACAAUGAAUGUGCCACGUCCUACUUGGAAAAACAUUUCGUUUUCUUAUUUUAUUGUUAUAUAAGGUUCGGUAAAUAUUGAACAGUCUGGCUACCAGAAUUUUUUUUCCGACGUCGCGUCGCAGCCUUGAAUUACUUCAUUUUAUAAUAAAAAUAUCCACGUACCAGUUUUAGUUUUAUGUAUCGUAUGUUCAUCAGAUGUUAAAUAGACCUAAUUACACUGAGUCGAAAUUUUCCCUUCGUUUUUCGUAAUAUAUUUAUAAUUAAGGGGCAUCCGUGAAACAUGUCAAAACUUGAGGGAGAGGGAAGUUUUUUUUCGAAAAGACGACCAAAAACAACAGGGACUAAUUUUUCGCUAAUUUUUACAACAAUUUACCUAUGGUUCAGGCUUAAAGCUUUUAACACAUAGAAAUCGAAAAAACCAGUCUGCUUGGUCCAGUCUAAUCGAAACUUAGUAAAGAAAAUAUUUUUCCUUUGACACGACAUCAUACUUCGAAGUAACUUGAUACUGUUGAGACUGUCAUCGAUUUUUUGUGGAAAGAUGAUUGUGUUCAACAUUUUCAUUACUGUGGUUCUGAUUUUUCUUCUAAAUUAUUGCUGGAAAAGGCGAAAUUGGUAUCGCGCUUCUUGGAAUCUACCCGGUAUCUUGUCAUUGCCCAUAAUUGGUGGAGCAUACAUAUUUUGGAACACAACAGAUGUCUUGGCGAGAACGUCGAAGUACCUGGAGAAAGUUAAGGUUCAUUUUUAGCCCCGUACGAAGUACUGGGGGCUUAUAAGAUUAAUAUGCCGUUUGUAACACGUCGA